UAGGGAAUCUUCGGCAAUGGGGGCAACCCUGACCGAGCAACGCCGCGUGAGUGAAGAAGGUUUUCGGAUCGUAAAGCUCUGUUGUAAGUCAAGAACGGGUGUGAGAGUGGAAAGUUCACACUGUGACGGUAGCUUACCAGAAAGGGACGGCUAACUACGUGCCAGCAGCCGCGGUAAUACGUAGGUCCCGAGCGUUGUCCGGAUUUAUUGGGCGUAAAGCGAGCGCAGGCGGUUUGAUGAGUCUGAAGUUAAAGGCUGUGGCUCAACCAUAGUUCGCUUUGGAAACUGUCAAACUUGAAUGCAAAAGGGGAGAGUGGAAUUCCAUGUGUAGCGGUGAAAUGCGUAGUUAUAUGGAGGAACGGCAGUGGCGAAAGCGGCUCUCUGGUCUGUAACUGACGCUGAGGCUCGAAAGCGUGGGGAGCGAACAGG
Molecule: ribosomal RNA, 429 nt
Filed under: bacterium
Lineage: Bacteria
Description: partial 16S ribosomal RNA
Rfam family: Bacterial small subunit ribosomal RNA
Source: RNAcentral